This is a non-coding RNA of Cellulophaga algicola DSM 14237, 398 nucleotides long. The record is from Rfam. Lineage: Bacteria; Pseudomonadati; Bacteroidota; Flavobacteriia; Flavobacteriales; Flavobacteriaceae.
GGGGCCGCCUGGUUUUGACAGCGAGACCAAUUGGGAUGUAAGCAUGCCGAGCGCUGGGCUACAGCUCGUUAAUCACAUUUUCCACACUUUUAAUUGGCGAAAAUAAUUACGCUCUUGCCGCUUAAUCUGAAUUACAGUAGGAUUUAGCCUCGUCUCUACUAGGUAGAGAAGCGAGAUGUUCCGGAAUAGCCCUUGUUGGCGGCGAUUCUAUUAGGAGCACCAGAAAUGUCAACACAAGGGUAUUAUUGCUUUGGUAGUAUCACAAAAAUUUCAGAAGCUAAGUGUAUAAUAGGCGGUUUUCAGUCGGUUGUGCAUCGAAAACCAAAUGAAAACUAAGCAUGAAGAAAGCAUUGUAAUUGCUUGUUUGGACGGGAGUUCGAUUCUCCCCGGCUCCACAA